This 77-nucleotide transfer RNA is filed under the name Pseudomonas aeruginosa. RNAcentral's name for it is "partial Asp tRNA". It matches the Rfam family "tRNA". Rfam says of the family: Transfer RNA (tRNA) molecules are approximately 80 nucleotides in length. RNAcentral also lists the same sequence under 2 other names. The record is from RNAcentral. Lineage: Bacteria; Pseudomonadati; Pseudomonadota; Gammaproteobacteria; Pseudomonadales; Pseudomonadaceae.
CAGCGGUAGUUCAGUCGGUUAGAAUACCGGCCUGUCACGCCGGGGGUCGCGGGUUCGAGUCCCGUCCGCUGCGCCAU